RNAcentral lists this ribosomal RNA (1951 nucleotides) under Klebsiella pneumoniae. Its description in RNAcentral is "bacterial LSU rRNA". It matches the Rfam family "Bacterial large subunit ribosomal RNA", at positions 146 to 2123 of the family's 2925-position model. Lineage: Bacteria; Pseudomonadati; Pseudomonadota; Gammaproteobacteria; Enterobacterales; Enterobacteriaceae. The record is from RNAcentral.
CACUAUCGUUAACUGAAUACAUAGGUUAACGAGGCGAACCGGGGGAACUGAAACAUCUAAGUACCCCGAGGAAAAGAAAUCAACCGAGAUUCCCCCAGUAGCGGCGAGCGAACGGGGAGCAGCCCAGAGUCUGAAUCAGCUUGUGUGUUAGUGGAACGGUCUGGAAAGUCCGACGGUACAGGGUGAUAGUCCCGUACACCAAAAUGCACAGGCUGUGAACUCGAAGAGUAGGGCGGGACACGUGGUAUCCUGUCUGAAUAUGGGGGGACCAUCCUCCAAGGCUAAAUACUCCUGACUGACCGAUAGUGAACCAGUACCGUGAGGGAAAGGCGAAAAGAACCCCGGCGAGGGGAGUGAAAAAGAACCUGAAACCGUGUACGUACAAGCAGUGGGAGCACCUUCGGGUGUGACUGCGUACCUUUUGUAUAAUGGGUCAGCGACUUAUAUUCUGUAGCAAGGUUAACCGUAUAGGGGAGCCGCAGGGAAACCGAGUCUUAACUGGGCGUUAAGUUGCAGGGUAUAGACCCGAAACCCGGUGAUCUAGCCAUGGGCAGGUUGAAGGUUGGGUAACACUAACUGGAGGACCGAACCGACUAAUGUUGAAAAAUUAGCGGAUGACUUGUGGCUGGGGGUGAAAGGCCAAUCAAACCGGGAGAUAGCUGGUUCUCCCCGAAAGCUAUUUAGGUAGCGCCUCGUGAAUUCAUCUUCGGGGGUAGAGCACUGUUUCGGCUAGGGGGUCAUCCCGACUUACCAACCCGAUGCAAACUACGAAUACCGAAGAAUGUUAUCACGGGAGACACACGGCGGGUGCUAACGUCCGUCGUGAAGAGGGAAACAACCCAGACCGCCAGCUAAGGUCCCAAAGUCAUGGUUAAGUGGGAAACGAUGUGGGAAGGCACAGACAGCCAGGAUGUUGGCUUAGAAGCAGCCAUCAUUUAAAGAAAGCGUAAUAGCUCACUGGUCGAGUCGGCCUGCGCGGAAGAUGUAACGGGGCUAAACCAUGCACCGAAGCUGCGGCAGCGACACUAUGUGUUGUUGGGUAGGGGAGCGUUCUGUAAGCCUGCGAAGGUGACCUGUGAGGGUUGCUGGAGGUAUCAGAAGUGCGAAUGCUGACAUAAGUAACGAUAAAGCGGGUGAAAAGCCCGCUCGCCGGAAGACCAAGGGUUCCUGUCCAACGUUAAUCGGGGCAGGGUGAGUCGACCCCUAAGGCGAGGCCGAAAGGCGUAGUCGAUGGGAAACAGGUUAAUAUUCCUGUACUUGGUGUUACUGCGAAGGGGGGACGGAGAAGGCUAUGUUAGCCGGGCGACGGUUGUCCCGGUUUAAGCAUGUAGGCUGGUUGUCCAGGCAAAUCCGGAUAAUCAAGGCUGAGGUGUGAUGACGAGGCACUACGGUGCUGAAGUAACAAAUGCCCUGCUUCCAGGAAAAGCCUCUAAGCAUCAGGUAACAUUAAAUCGUACCCCAAACCGACACAGGUGGUCAGGUAGAGAAUACCAAGGCGCUUGAGAGAACUCGGGUGAAGGAACUAGGCAAAAUGGUGCCGUAACUUCGGGAGAAGGCACGCUGGUGUGUAGGUGAAGUCCCUGCGGAUGGAGCUGAGACCAGUCGAAGAUACCAGCUGGCUGCAACUGUUUAUUAAAAACACAGCACUGUGCAAACACGAAAGUGGACGUAUACGGUGUGACGCCUGCCCGGUGCCGGAAGGUUAAUUGAUGGGGUUAUCCGUAAGGAGAAGCUCUUGAUCGAAGCCCCGGUAAACGGCGGCCGUAACUAUAACGGUCCUAAGGUAGCGAAAUUCCUUGUCGGGUAAGUUCCGACCUGCACGAAUGGCGUAAUGAUGGCCAGGCUGUCUCCACCCGAGACUCAGUGAAAUUGAACUCGCUGUGAAGAUGCAGUGUACCCGCGGCAAGACGGAAAGACCCCGUGAACCUUUACUAUAGCUUGACACUGAACA